GCGUUUGGUAUACUACUUCUGAUGAAUCGAGUUCGUUGGCCGUUACGAAUUCUCCGUGUUCACUUGAUCUCUGAUGUCGUGUGCUUAAUAAACACUUAUUGCCUCGAUCCGAACAAUGCCGUCAACCAUUGCAUGGUUGACCGUCAAUGGUAUUGCAUUCCCAGAGAAAAACACUUAUGAGUAAGUAAACGGCACAUGAAAUCCGAUCGAUUGUCAAGGUUGCUCCCAAUGAUGGUCCUGACGGGCGUCUUGAAAAGAGCACAGUGCUUAGCACUCUUAAUGCCUGUCCUGUUACCGGCCAUCCACAUACUGGUGUUAGACAAGUUUUGGAGCGACUUCAACGUUAAUGUCAAUAAGGAACACUGUACGUGUUCGUGUUGGGACACCGUGUUCAAAGGACCAUACGAAGCAGGUGUCGCUAAGUAUAAACACAUGUACUUCAACGCUACAUACAACACAUUCAAAAUAUGGGUGAUCACGAUGGUGUGUGCAAUCAUACUGUACGAAUGCACCAAAAACAUUGUAAGCAUUUGUUUUGACAGGCAACUGCGUUAUAAAAUGGUGUUACUGUUUAUUUUAUCAAUGUUUUCGCACUACUAUUCUUGGUGGUCGUUUGUAAACUAUUGGAAUGAUGACUUCUAUUCGCAAUGGAAUCAUCAAAUAUUCUUCACUAUCACCGAACUCUACUCUACUUGCAUUGUGUAUAAAAUAUGCGAUCGCAGAAAAGAAAUAAAUAAAGGACACUUGUUUUCCAUUAUUGCCGUGGGCUUGAUGCAUAUGUUAGCUGCUGGCUUUGAUCAGUUUGUUAUAAAUGUGAUUGGAGGACAUGGAUACGCACAUCAAUGUAAUUAUCAAUGUAUCAACUUAGUAUACUAUCAAGUAUGAUUCACACUAGUCAGACACAUACUAUAACAUUUUGCGAAAUAUUUCAAUACUUGUUUAAGUAUAAUAAUUCAUUUUAACAUGCUAAAUGAGCAUUCAUUCAGUAACAAAUCAACAGUCCGUCCAGCAUUUCAGGCAAAAAUGUUUUGUCGGGACAUCCUGUGUCUGUAUUGGAACAAUACAUGAUAAUACAAUACCAACAGUAUGGUGUUCUGAAUUGUGAUAAGAGAUCUCUUCUUAAUGAUACCAGAUAUACUAAGUAUCAUUAUACCAUUAUGGGAAUUAAAAGACCGAAGGUUAACUAUCAAAAGC
Molecule: RNA transcript, 1194 nt
Organism: Sipha flava (yellow sugarcane aphid)
Lineage: Eukaryota; Metazoa; Arthropoda; Insecta; Hemiptera; Aphididae
Exons: 5
Source: RefSeq, a predicted model, not a curated record